Molecule: ribosomal RNA, 473 nt
Filed under: uncultured bacterium
Lineage: Bacteria
Description: partial 16S ribosomal RNA
Rfam family: Bacterial small subunit ribosomal RNA
Source: RNAcentral
GAUAAACGCUGGCGGCGCACAUAAGACAUGCAAGUUGAACGGACUUAAUCGAAAUAUUUAUAUUUUGAAGCGGUUAGUGGCGGACUGGUGAGUAACGCGUAAGGAACCUGCCUAUUAGAGGGGAAUAACAGUGAGAAAUCAUUGCUAAUACCGCAUAUGCCAUAGAUAUCACAUGAUAACAGUGGGAAAGGAGCAAUCCGCUAAUAGAUGGCCUUGCGUCUGAUUAGAUAGUUGGUGGGGUAACGGCCUACCAAGUCGACGAUCAGUAGCCGGACUGAGAGGUUGAACGGCCACAUGGGGACUGAGAUACGGCCCGGACUCCUACGGGAGGCAGCAGUCGGGAAUAUUGCGCAAUGGAGGAAACUCUGACGCAGUGACGCCGCGUAGAGGAAGAAGGUUUUCGGAUUGUAAACUAUUGUCGUUAGGGAAGAGAAAGGACAGUACCUAAGGAGGAAGCUCCGGCUAACUACGUG